UAGGUUAACGAGGCGAACCGGGGGAACUGAAACAUCUAAGUACCCCGAGGAAAAGAAAUCAACCGAGAUUCCCCCAGUAGCGGCGAGCGAACGGGGAGCAGCCCAGAGUCUGAAUCAGCUUGUGUGUUAGUGGAACGGUCUGGAAAGUCCGACGGUACAGGGUGAUAGUCCCGUACACCAAAAUGCACAGGCUGUGAACUCGAAGAGUAGGGCGGGACACGUGGUAUCCUGUCUGAAUAUGGGGGGACCAUCCUCCAAGGCUAAAUACUCCUGACUGACCGAUAGUGAACCAGUACCGUGAGGGAAAGGCGAAAAGAACCCCGGCGAGGGGAGUGAAAAAGAACCUGAAACCGUGUACGUACAAGCAGUGGGAGCACCUUCGGGUGUGACUGCGUACCUUUUGUAUAAUGGGUCAGCGACUUAUAUUCUGUAGCAAGGUUAACCGUAUAGGGGAGCCGCAGGGAAACCGAGUCUUAACUGGGCGUUAAGUUGCAGGGUAUAGACCCGAAACCCGGUGAUCUAGCCAUGGGCAGGUUGAAGGUUGGGUAACACUAACUGGAGGACCGAACCGACUAAUGUUGAAAAAUUAGCGGAUGACUUGUGGCUGGGGGUGAAAGGCCAAUCAAACCGGGAGAUAGCUGGUUCUCCCCGAAAGCUAUUUAGGUAGCGCCUCGUGAACUCAUCUUCGGGGGUAGAGCACUGUUUCGGCUAGGGGGUCAUCCCGACUUACCAACCCGAUGCAAACUACGAAUACCGAAGAAUGUUAUCACGGGAGACACACGGCGGGUGCUAACGUCCGUCGUGAAGAGGGAAACAACCCAGACCGCCAGCUAAGGUCCCAAAGUCAUGGUUAAGUGGGAAACGAUGUGGGAAGGCACAGACAGCCAGGAUGUUGGCUUAGAAGCAGCCAUCAUUUAAAGAAAGCGUAAUAGCUCACUGGUCGAGUCGGCCUGCGCGGAAGAUGUAACGGGGCUAAACCAUG
This 982-nucleotide ribosomal RNA is filed under the name Klebsiella pneumoniae. RNAcentral's name for it is "partial 23S ribosomal RNA". It matches the Rfam family "Bacterial large subunit ribosomal RNA", at positions 167 to 1191 of the family's 2925-position model. The record is from RNAcentral. Lineage: Bacteria; Pseudomonadati; Pseudomonadota; Gammaproteobacteria; Enterobacterales; Enterobacteriaceae. RNAcentral also lists the same sequence under 1 other name.